This 985-nucleotide long non-coding RNA is filed under the name Capsicum annuum. RNAcentral describes it as "long non-coding RNA (CANN_LNC001279)". The record is from RNAcentral. Lineage: Eukaryota; Viridiplantae; Streptophyta; Magnoliopsida; Solanales; Solanaceae.
UUAGAUCAUAAAAAUGUACCACAAAAGUAUUGUCAUUAGUCUUAAAAACUAAUUUAAACACAAAAUACUUCUCCAACAGCGAUUCGAUAACAUUGUCAUAAUUACUAAUACGAUUACAAAUUUCAAUGAUCAUCGCUAGAAUAACUAUCACCAGAUAAUCGUCCAUUCACAUUCGAAAGAGGUCCACUAGAGACAUCACUUGGCUACAAAAGUAAAAAUAAAAACAGUAAGGUUUUUGAAUACUAAAUAUUUUAUAACAAUACAUUAACUUAAUUUUUCUCAAAUCAAAAUUAUUUACCAUAGAAGUGAAAAAUCCUACAAACUGUUCAGGAAUCGUGCAUUCUUUCAUUAUCAUAUAUGCCUUGAAAGUGUUCAUCAUUAGAUUCACAAUUACGAGCAUCGUAAUCAUUUUACGGUAGUUUAUUAUUUAUCGCUGCAAUCAGUUAGCGGUGGUUAAAUAACGGCGGUUUAAACCCCCACAAUAUGUAAACUAAAAUUAGCUCCCAACUAAUACUUUAAAACACAUACCAGCGGUUAAAAGCUCCACUAUAUAUUUUAAAAAUUGCAGAGGUCAAAACUCCCACAAUUCACUUAUAUUUUUUCAAAAAAAAAGAUUGCUCUGUUCAUGAUCAUUAUUUAAAUUUGAAUUUCAUUUAAUAGAUUUAAUAUAUAUCAUUCACUGUUGGACCAAACAAAAAUACAUCUUAAUAACAACAAAAAUCAAAAUAUAUUAGAUCAUAAAAAUGUACCACAAAAGUAUUGUCAUUAGUCUUAAAAACUAAUUUAAACACAAAAUACUUCUCCAACAGCGAUUCGAUAACAUUGUCAUAAUUACUAAUACGAUUACAAAUUUCAAUGAUUAUCACUAGAAUAACUAUCACCAGAUGAUCUUCCAUUCACAUUCGAAAGAGGUCCACUAGAGACAUCACUUGGCUACAAAAGUAAAAAUAAAAACAGUAAGGUUUUUGAAUACUAAAUAUUUUAU